This 491-nucleotide ribosomal RNA is filed under the name uncultured bacterium. Its description in RNAcentral is "partial 16S ribosomal RNA". It matches the Rfam family "Bacterial small subunit ribosomal RNA", at positions 29 to 506 of the family's 1533-position model. The record is from RNAcentral.
AGUGAACGCUGGCGGUAGGCCUAACACAUGCAAGUCGAACGGCAGCACAGUAAGAGCUUGCUCUUACGGGUGGCGAGUGGCGGACGGGUGAGGAAUACAUCGGAAUCUACUUUUUCGUGGGGGAUAACGUAGGGAAACUUACGCUAAUUCCGCAUACGACCUACGGGUGAAAGCAGGGGAUCUUCGGACCUUGCGCGAUUGAAUGAGCCGAUGUCGGAUUAGCUAGUUGGCGGGGUAAAGGCCCACCAAGGCGACGAUCCGUAGCUGGUCUGAGAGGAUGAUCAGCCACACUGGAACUGGGACACGGUCCAGACUCCUACGGGAGGCAGCAGUGGGGAAUAUUGGACAAUGGGCGCAAGCCUGAUCCAGCCAUACCGCGUGGGUGAAGAAGGCCUUCGGGUUGUAAAGCCCUUUUGUUGGGAAAGAAAAGCAGCAGGUUAAUACCCCGCUGUUCUGACGGUACCCAAAGAAUAAGCACCGGCUAACUUCGU